CGCUCCGCAUGGUUGUGCGGAUUUGGAGAGCUCGGCUCUGCAGAGACGCGGAGCCGGCCGUUGUAGGCAUUCACUGACUGUUGAGCCCUCCCACUCCCUGGAGAUGAAACUGUGGGAUGGGCUGCAGGAUCCUCUACGCAGGAGAAGGGAAGAAGUCCAGGCAGCAAUGAGGGUGGCGUCCGCAACGAGCAGGGCCUUCAGGAAUGCAGAAAUAUCCUGGAAGGAGGACAUGUUGGCAGCCCCAGUCAUCCCGCAGCAGCUCUGUGCCCCGCAGCGGCCCCGGAUCAGCUGUUCUGCAUGAGACUCAGCUCCGGCACACCCGUUUCUCCCACCACUGACUUCUUCCUACUUCCCCGACCAAACGCUUCUUGAGCGAGCCUUUCUCAGGAUGAGAGGGCUCGGGGAGUCCUACCUUCAAAAGCCCAUGAGGACGGCACCUGCAAGACAUGGGGCUCUGAUGCCCAGC
Molecule: long non-coding RNA, 466 nt
Organism: Hipposideros armiger (great roundleaf bat)
Lineage: Eukaryota; Metazoa; Chordata; Mammalia; Chiroptera; Hipposideridae
Exons: 3
Source: RefSeq, a predicted model, not a curated record